This 301-nucleotide ribosomal RNA is filed under the name uncultured bacterium. Its description in RNAcentral is "partial 16S ribosomal RNA". It matches the Rfam family "Bacterial small subunit ribosomal RNA", at positions 509 to 807 of the family's 1533-position model. The record is from RNAcentral.
CAGUAGCCGCGGGAAUACGUAGGGUGCAAGCGUUAAUCGGAAUUACUGGGCGUAAAGCGUGCGCAGGCGGUUUGUUAAGACAGAUGUGAAAUCCCCGGGCUCAACCUGGGAACUGCAUUUGUGACUGGCAAGCUAGAGUGUGGCAGAGGGGGGUGGAAUUCCGCGUGUAGCAGUGAAAUGCGUAGAUAUGCGGAGGAACACCGAUGGCGAAGGCAGCCCCCUGGGCCAACACUGACGCUCAUGCACGAAAGCGUGGGGAGCAAACAGGAUUAGAUACCCGUGUAGUCCCUGUCUCUUAUAC